UGCUAUUUGUCUUCAUUAAUGCGAAUGCGCCUAGAACUUUGGCAAGCUACCCAGCAAGAUUCCGACGCUCUUCAGUCUCCGUUCGUUCAACCCUGAUGAUGGCAAAUUCUGCGUGGCAUUUUUAAGCCGACGCCAAAUGACAUGCAGCAGUUAUUAAUUGGCAAUUUACAUGCCGAAUGAUUAAUGCCUGGGCCCCACAGGGCGGAAACAGCCAGGAGACCGAAAUGGAGCCGCAGCAGCAGUCUUAAACCGAAGGCACAUAUGUCACCGGGGGCAAAGUAAAGGUGCACUCGCGGGCAAGAGCAUAGCUCGCUUGUGUCGAAAAGGUCUUAUUACAUUGGUGUUAUGCGUCAAUUAAAGAACUUUGUAGGUAUUCAUUUAUUUAAAAAUAAUCUGUUCGACCUUUGAUAAAAAUGUUUACUAGUUCUAAUUUAAAUGCAGAGUAAUCUCAGAAUUACUUUUCAUUUCUGUUAACUAUUUCUUAAGUACAUCUUUCAAGACACAGCCUGCAAUUUUCUCCCUUCCUUAUUGGAACCAUGAUAUGUUGACCGCUGCUGUUCCUGUGUGGAAAUGCUUUUCCGGGCUUUGGCAGUGGGACUCAUCUUUAGCAUAGCAAACAGCUUGAAAAUCAAAAGGGACGAUUAUGCAGUUGCACUGAAGUCCUUUGAAUGGAGUGGAGUAAAGGGAACGUGGGCAACCAGUUAGGCACGUGGAUUCGGGAUACACAGACUCCUUAGUUUUGAGUUUCGAGCUUCGAGUGCCUCUGGCCCAGACAACUACCCUUUUCAACCGCAAAUAGAGCGAGCAACAGAGGCAGCAGAGGCAUCGCCUUGACCGAUUCUGAACCUGAACUGCUCUUGACAUCCGGGCCUGGGUCGAAAUUAUAAGCAGGAAAAUAAAGAGGAGCGAGCAUGUGGCAUGCAUAUUCAUAAAAUUGCACUGGAACCGCUCGCAGGACAACAAUGGCAACACGACAGCAACCAAAAGUGAAAAUCCAAGGAGUGACAGCCAUGAGAGUUGGGAAGGCGCCGUCGCACAGAUGCUACUGCUUCUUAUCCUCAGUGCUGACGUGCUAGCUUCUUGUACACAUUUCUUAUUUAAGAUUAAUUUAUAUAUCACUUUUAGUUUCCAACUUCUUAAUAUAUGGCAUGGUGACAAAAGAAAA
Drosophila yakuba is the source of this 1165-nucleotide long non-coding RNA. RefSeq lists it as uncharacterized. The transcript is spliced from 2 exons. NCBI's taxonomy places the organism in Eukaryota, Metazoa, Arthropoda, Insecta, Diptera, Drosophilidae. The record is from RefSeq and is a predicted model, not a curated record.